RNAcentral lists this long non-coding RNA (413 nucleotides) under Felis catus (domestic cat). RNAcentral describes it as "lncRNA (ENSFCAG00000044186.2)". The record is from RNAcentral. Lineage: Eukaryota; Metazoa; Chordata; Mammalia; Carnivora; Felidae.
GAAUUUUCCAAUUGGAACGAAUGCCAGGAUGAAUUGCUUGGCCUUCUGUAACACCUUUCAUGUAAAGGUCUUCAUGUGCAUUGCAGACACAAGCUCAUUAGCUUCCUGACAGCCUUGGGAGACAGGUUACUUGCUUGUCCAGAGAAGAAAAGAACUGAGUGGGUCACCAGUUUGAGCCCUGAGGCAUGUCUGCCUGGAGAUUGCUUUUCAUAGAAGAGAGAAUAUUGCGCAGAACCUAUAAAACUCAAAUGUAAAAGGUCUAUUUACACAAGUGGCCUAUUCCAGGUUCUGCCACUGGGAGAUUCUUGUUCUCAUCAGGAGAAAGAAUUCGGGACAGAAGGGCAGCAAAUCACACUGCCCAGUUUUAUUAAAGCAGAAGUAUACUUCCAAGGUGAGGGAGUGGGCAGGCCAGG